AGUGAAUCUAGGCCUUUAAUUGGAGCAGGAGUGAUUGGAUUAUAAUUAGUUAAAGAUUAUAAUUAGUCUCUGCAACGAAAUGGGAUAACAGUUGGUGACGGAAUGCAUAGGCUCUUUCAUCACUCUUCUCCCUUGAAGAAGACCGGGCGGUUAUUGAAUGGGCACAGGCGAAAGCCACCCUUACCACAGAUGAACACUUUGCGCACCAUGGAGUGGAUUGUUGGUAAUCUGUCCGAGUCUCACCCAAACCUGAGCAAAGUCGCUACAGUGGGACUGCUUCUACCAACCUCCACAGCUGAUUGUGAGAGAGGUUUCAGCAGUUGAAUGUGUAAAGACCACCCACCAUUCACCGGUGAGCAUGAAAGUGCUUAAUGCCUUACUCAUGGUGUCCAUGCAGGGACAAAAAUUGAAUGACUUUAAUUUCAGUGGUGCAGUAAAGGAAUGGCACAGAGCCAAAGACAGACACUUACCGGUAUAUGAAAACAAAAAUGCCUAUGUGUUGUUAGUGUUAGUACAAAAGAAGUGGAAGGACAUAUGUGUUGUUUGAAAAUACAUAUAAAAGAAGUGGACAUCUGUUUAGUGUAUAUGAUAUAUUGAUGGUUAUAUGAUUAUGUAAAAAUGUAGAAGUAAUGAAAUA
This is a long non-coding RNA of Mercenaria mercenaria, 637 nucleotides long. RefSeq lists it as uncharacterized. The record is from RefSeq and is a predicted model, not a curated record. The transcript is spliced from 3 exons. NCBI's taxonomy places the organism in Eukaryota, Metazoa, Mollusca, Bivalvia, Venerida, Veneridae.